UGUUCACCACCGGGCGAGAUGCCCAGAGCGCCCCAGAGCUGCUGAGUCAUGGAGGACGAGGCUGGGUUACCAACAGAGGAGCCCCGGGUCCCCAGGGACCCUGGAAGCACCAGGCUGGAGGCCCAACAGCCCAAACCAAAACCGACCCGUCUGGAUGGAGACAAAGAGGAUGAAGAUUUGACCUCAGGACACUCUGCAGACUUCACGGCUCUGCCCUCACCGUGUCAAGGAGUAGACUUCAUUUCCAGCUUCAUGUAUUAAACUCAAGUAUUUUUCAUAGUUUACCGGGCUUUGAAGCACGUGAACAGGUGUACCUAAUGACCUAGUGUGUACACUUCAAAAUAACAUUAGUGGGUUUUUGUGUUGCUGUUGGCCAUUUUGACAUUUUGAACUGCAACCAAGCUGAAGAUGAAGCUAACAUGAAAAAAAAAAUCCGGUAACACUUUACUUGAAGCCCCCCUGCAUAACACAUUAUAAGUACAUUCAUAAAGCAUUAUAAUGCCAUUAUAACAUGUGUAGCU
Molecule: long non-coding RNA, 521 nt
Organism: Salarias fasciatus (jewelled blenny)
Lineage: Eukaryota; Metazoa; Chordata; Actinopteri; Blenniiformes; Blenniidae
Exons: 3
Source: RefSeq, a predicted model, not a curated record